This 177-nucleotide small RNA is filed under the name Archaeoglobus fulgidus. Lineage: Archaea; Methanobacteriati; Methanobacteriota; Archaeoglobi; Archaeoglobales; Archaeoglobaceae. The record is from RNAcentral.
CAUGAGUGCACCGGCAAUUAAAAAGGCCGGUACCAAACACGUCAGGACAUGCAGAGCUAUGUAUUCCUCAAGGGCCUGAAUUCCCGCCAGCAGCAGUGCAUUGACGUCCAUAUGGUUUAAAAUUUAUAACUGAAUUUAAGUUUUUGGUUUAAAAUUUAAACUUUUUUCUUAGGUUUA